GGAUAUAGCUCAGUUGGUAGAGUGCUUGCCUUGCAUUUGCAUGCACAAGGCCCUGGGUUCAAUCCCCUGCACCA
This 74-nucleotide transfer RNA is filed under the name Marmota monax (woodchuck). Its description in RNAcentral is "tRNA.Ala". Lineage: Eukaryota; Metazoa; Chordata; Mammalia; Rodentia; Sciuridae. The record is from RNAcentral.